RNAcentral lists this long non-coding RNA (918 nucleotides) under Nicotiana benthamiana. RNAcentral describes it as "long non-coding RNA (NBEN_LNC030021)". The record is from RNAcentral. Lineage: Eukaryota; Viridiplantae; Streptophyta; Magnoliopsida; Solanales; Solanaceae.
UGGUCUCUCUAUCUCUCUAUAACAUUUGCUCUCCCUUCUCUCUAGAACCUUCUGCUUCUCUCUUUCUUUUCUGAUGGGUUCCAUCGCCAAUCUGACCAACUCGGACCUCACUCCUUUCAACCUUUAGUCGCCAUGGCACUGUAUCUCGUCGUUUCUGUCCAAGGUUUGAAGUCCCAGAAGCUUCCGCCAUGCAAGAUGGUCACUGAAGCCUCGUCUGAGUCCGUUUUCGGCAUUUCUCCGAUGGGUGUUUGUCCGAUGAUGCUUUAAGCUUCAUUUUCACGGCUCUCAUUGAUUCUAUUGCAAACCCUAAUUAUUUCUUAGAGCUCUUAAUCUAUAUCUUUUUAAACGAUUUCUGGUUUAAUCUUCGUGUUCUAUGCUACUUAUUACUAGAUAUCUUCGAUUUAUGUGAUUACUCCUAUGUUAUGUGCUUGAAACCUUUUUUUUCUAAGUUCCAUGACUUAUAUAUUUUCUAGGGUUCCGACUCUACUAUCUAUGUGAUUUCCUGCUUAGAGUUCUUAAUUGUUUUGAGACUACUGUGUUUAAAUACAUUUGAAUGCCCGUCUUUGCUGGAUAUGCUAUUAAUUCCGAGCAUCUCCUUGAAUCCCUGAUUUUCAUGUGUUUUCCUUAAGGGUUCUUACACUAAUUUGGAAUUAUUUCCUUAUUUAUGAGUUAUUUUCUAAACAUAGUAUUUAUUCCAUCUACUUUUGGUCUUGCCUGUGAUUCUUUGAUUGAUUUUCAGAGUUAAUUUUAUAUGGUUACCAUACAUGUGCACAUACAUAUAUUUCUAGUUAUUCCGCGUAUAUUUUCCUUGUUUAAUGCAUCGUGUACCUAGCCUUUAUUUCAUACAUAGUGAUUACUGCUCUUUUUAUGGAAUAAUCAGUUAUCUGACUGAUUAUUUCCUUACAUGACAGUCUAUGC